CUGAUGAUGAUGAUGAUGAUGAUGAUGAUGAUGAUGAGGAUACAGACAAAGAACAGGGAGCUGUAGUUUUGGGAAAUCUGACGCUUGAUGAUGUGUCGGCUUCCAGCAGUUUAACUGCUGAAAUAAAUGUAAACAGUAUUGGAAGUUUGCAUGCAAGCAUAACUGAUACUGCAACACAGAAGAAAUCUUCCUUUCGACGAGGUCCUCCGGCAUCAGAUGGACAAUAAUUCAUUUGAAAAAUUAUAUGUUGAUAUUGCCUGUGAUAUUAAAAUAAAAUGUUUUCAUAUA
Molecule: long non-coding RNA, 288 nt
Organism: Schistocerca serialis cubense
Lineage: Eukaryota; Metazoa; Arthropoda; Insecta; Orthoptera; Acrididae
Exons: 3
Source: RefSeq, a predicted model, not a curated record